ACCUGGGUGGCUCAGUUGUUAAGCAUCUGACUUUGGCUCAGGUCAUGAUCUCACGGUUUGUGAGUUCAAGUCCCACCUUGGGUA
RNAcentral lists this transfer RNA (84 nucleotides) under Felis catus (domestic cat). It matches the Rfam family "tRNA". From Rfam's summary of the family: Transfer RNA (tRNA) molecules are approximately 80 nucleotides in length. Their secondary structure includes four short double-helical elements and three loops (D, anti-codon, and T loops). Further hydrogen bonds mediate the characteristic L-shaped molecular structure. tRNAs have two regions of fundamental functional importance: the anti-codon, which is responsible for specific mRNA codon recognition, and the 3' end, to which the tRNAs corresponding amino acid is attached (by aminoacyl-tRNA synthetases). tRNAs cope with the degeneracy of the genetic code in two manners: having more than one tRNA (with a specific anti-codon) for a particular amino acid; and 'wobble' base-pairing, i.e. permitting non-standard base-pairing at the 3rd anti-codon position. Lineage: Eukaryota; Metazoa; Chordata; Mammalia; Carnivora; Felidae. The record is from Rfam by way of RNAcentral.